Molecule: ribosomal RNA, 812 nt
Filed under: uncultured archaeon
Lineage: Archaea
Description: bacterial SSU rRNA
Rfam family: Archaeal small subunit ribosomal RNA
Source: RNAcentral
UACGGCUCAGUAACACGUGGCUAACCUGCCCUUAGGACGAGAACACCCCCGGGAAACUGGGGCUAAUUCUCGAUAGGCGAAGAACUCUGGAAUGAGUCUUCACCCAAUGGAGCCUGCGUUAUGCUCGUAGGUUUCGCCCAAGGAUGGGGCCGCGACCGAUCAGGUUGUUGGUGAGGUAAUGGCUCACCAAGCCUUUUACCGGUGCGGGCCGUGGGAGCGGGAGCCCGGAGAUGGGCACUGAGACAAGGGCCCAGGCCCUACGGGGCGCAGCAGUCGCGAAAACUUUGCAAUAAGCGAAAGCUUGACAGGGCUAUCCCGAGUGCCAUCCGCUGAGGAAGGCUUUUACCCAGUCUAGAACGCUGGGGGAAUAAGGAGAGGGCAAGUCUGGUGUCAGCCGCCGCGGUAAUACCAGCUCUCCGAGUGGUGUGGAUGUUUAUUGGGCCUAAAGCAUCCGUAGCUGGCUAAGUUAGUCCCCUGUUAAAUCCACCGAAUUAAUCGUUGGAUCGCGGGGGAUACUGCUUGGCUAGGGGACGAGAGAGGCAGACGGUAUUUUCGGGGUAGGGGUGAAAUCCUAUAAUCCCGGGAAGACCACCAGUGGCGAAGGCUGUCUGCUAGAACGCGCCCGACGGUGAGGGAUGAAAGCUGGGGGAGCGAACCGGAUUAGAUACCCGGGUAGUCCCAGCUGUAAACGAUGCAGGCUAGGUGUUUGGACGGCCACGUGCCGUUCUAGUGCCGCAGGGAAGCUGUUAAGCCUGCCGCCUGGGGAGUACGAUCGCAAGAUUGAAACUUAAAGGAAUUGGCGGGGGAGCACA